This 303-nucleotide long non-coding RNA is filed under the name Helianthus annuus (common sunflower). Its description in RNAcentral is "sRNA HanXRQr2_Chr02g0082811". The record is from RNAcentral. Lineage: Eukaryota; Viridiplantae; Streptophyta; Magnoliopsida; Asterales; Asteraceae.
UUUUUCUUCAAGGUCUCUCCAAUGAGCACCGGUGCAUUUGGGAAUUCACAUUCAGUUUGUUCAUUUCUUUGAUAUAUGAUCUGUAAGUUAACAUGUCUCCUCGGUUUCUCUUUUAGAACCAAGAGGUGGUAACCGUUUUUUUUAAAUAUGUAUUAUAUAUUAUUAAGAGCUCUGUGGCGAUGCCGUUGUUUGGAAUGAGUAGCAGAGUAUGGAUGCAAGACAGCCCAACAAAGUUCAGGCUCGAAAGUUUUUUGGAUCAAAGAGCUCAAAAGAUACACCCACCCACCUAGAGACCCAUUGAAG